Non-coding RNA from Paramuricea clavata, 228 nucleotides. The record is from the annotation of a GenBank genome assembly. NCBI's taxonomy places the organism in Eukaryota, Metazoa, Cnidaria, Anthozoa, Malacalcyonacea, Plexauridae.
CGGGAAAUUGACAUCCGAUUCGGGUGUUGGGGCUGCAAUUUCCCGUUUGUAAUGCAAAAUGACUGAAAAUUGCAAACUUCGCAAGGCUCCAUUUUCCUCCUUUUACAACAUUUCGCAACGAAACUUUGGAAUAUUACUAAUUUUGUGAUGCUCUUUCAAGCUGUGAUGAAAUAUUUGUCUAGACUUGCCUAGAUCAAAAUUUUGGUUAUAAGGGGAAAGGUCUAUUGG